RNAcentral lists this transfer RNA (68 nucleotides) under Graphium doson. Its description in RNAcentral is "tRNA-Trp". Lineage: Eukaryota; Metazoa; Arthropoda; Insecta; Lepidoptera; Papilionidae. The record is from RNAcentral.
UAAGACUUUAAGUUAAUACAAACUAAUAAUCUUCAAAAUUAUAAAUAAAGAAAUUCUUUAAGUCUUAG